This 977-nucleotide ribosomal RNA is filed under the name Plagiorchis multiglandularis. RNAcentral describes it as "16S ribosomal RNA". The stretch from base 622 to 977 matches the Rfam family "Bacterial large subunit ribosomal RNA", at positions 2048 to 2710 of the family's 2925-position model. Lineage: Eukaryota; Metazoa; Platyhelminthes; Trematoda; Plagiorchiida; Plagiorchiidae. The record is from RNAcentral.
UGACUUUGAGGUUUCUUUUAUGUUGUUUUCUUUUGGUUGAGUACCUUUUGCAUCAUGAUUUACUGAAGGUUGUUAAGUAUUUAUCUUCCCGAAAGAUAGUGAUUUAAUAUCAGUUUGUUUAGAACUCUAUAAAAGUGUGCGGGCAGCUCUUUUUAAAACUGGUAUUGGGUGUGAUAAAUAUUACGUACUGUCUUAUAUCUGGUUUCUGAAUUAUUUUUCGUUUUAUCCUUUCUGCUAUGAUGUGGUGGGGUUUUUAAGAGACUUUUAUUUUUUUAUUGUUCUUUGGGGUUAAAAGUACCCUUUGAUAAUGUUUGUGUUACAACAUAUUAUUUUGUUUAUUUGUCUUUAACGUAAAUUUCGGAUUAUUAACCUUUUGGUCGAGUAUUGUAUAAUUAGUAGUUUUAAUAUCCCAUAUUUUUCUCGUAUCUUGCCGGACUGUUUAUUAAAAACAUUUUUAUCACUUAAAUUUUGAUAAUCUAGCCUGCCCUAUGUUAUUUUAUAAAUGGCCGCAGUAUAUUGACUGUGCUAAGGUAGCAUAAUUAGUUGCCUUAUAAUUGAAGGAUUGUUUGAAUGGUAUUACCAGGUGAGUUUUAAGAUGUGGGUUAUUUAUAGAAAUUGGUUUGUCGGUGCAGAACCCGACAGUGUUUAAUAAGACGGAAAGACCCCAAGAGCUUUAUAAUUUUUUUAUUUACUUGGGGCAAGGGCAUAUUUUUUAUAUGUUUUUUGAUCCUCUCGGAUAAGAGGUGUAAGUUACCUUGGGGAUAACUAGGUAAGAGGCGAAGAGAGCUCAUAUCGAUUCGCUUAUUUGCCAUCUCGAUGUUGACUUAAGGUGAGUAUGAUGGCGCAGAAGUUUUCAUACUAGGUCUGUUCGACCUUAUAUCCUUUCAUGAGUUGAGUUAAGACCGGCGUGAGCCAGGUCGGUUCUUAUCUAUUGGUCUCCUGGCUUAGUACGAAAGGAUUGGCUAGGGUUUAUUUUG